RNAcentral lists this ribosomal RNA (671 nucleotides) under Enterobacter roggenkampii. RNAcentral describes it as "partial 23S ribosomal RNA". It matches the Rfam family "Bacterial large subunit ribosomal RNA", at positions 566 to 1238 of the family's 2925-position model. The record is from RNAcentral. Lineage: Bacteria; Pseudomonadati; Pseudomonadota; Gammaproteobacteria; Enterobacterales; Enterobacteriaceae.
ACAAGCAGUGGGAGCACCUUCGUGGUGUGACUGCGUACCUUUUGUAUAAUGGGUCAGCGACUUAUAUUCUGUAGCAAGGUUAACCGUAUAGGGGAGCCGAAGGGAAACCGAGUCUUAACUGGGCGUUAAGUUGCAGGGUAUAGACCCGAAACCCGGUGAUCUAGCCAUGGGCAGGUUGAAGGUUGGGUAACACUAACUGGAGGACCGAACCGACUAAUGUUGAAAAAUUAGCGGAUGACUUGUGGCUGGGGGUGAAAGGCCAAUCAAACCGGGAGAUAGCUGGUUCUCCCCGAAAGCUAUUUAGGUAGCGCCUCGUGAACUCAUCUUCGGGGGUAGAGCACUGUUUCGGCUAGGGGGCCAUCCCGGCUUACCAACCCGAUGCAAACUACGAAUACCGAAGAAUGUUAUCACGGGAGACACACGGCGGGUGCUAACGUCCGUCGUGAAGAGGGAAACAACCCAGACCGCCAGCUAAGGUCCCAAAGUCAUGGUUAAGUGGGAAACGAUGUGGGAAGGCACAGACAGCCAGGAUGUUGGCUUAGAAGCAGCCAUCAUUUAAAGAAAGCGUAAUAGCUCACUGGUCGAGUCGGCCUGCGCGGAAGAUGUAACGGGGCUAAACCAUGCACCGAAGCUGCGGCAGCGACGCUUAUGCGUUGUUGGGUAGGGGAGCG